GGAUGCGCGCUACUUAAGGUCCUGCUGCGUGAGCCAUUGACGUGUUUGGAGCUGGAGACGGCCUGGGUGCUGGCGAAGCGGAGGCCGGAGUUAAUACACGAGGAACUCAUGCAAAGGAGGGGACUUUCGGAAAUCCAAACUUAGAGUGCCUUGUAUUUAGAAUCCGGAAGGAAAAGGAAAUGAAAUGUGAAGAAACUCAUGCACCAAACUCGAACUGGGUAUAUGUGAUGUUACCUAGUAAGAAGACUGUUAGAAUGCCCUCGGUAACACAGAGGCUGAGAGAUCCUGACAUAAAUCCUUGUUUGUCGAUCCUGUUCUACCUUUUAAAUGAUGCCUCUCUUAUAUCUGUAAGGAAUCUGAUGCUUCCACCAGAUGUCUGGAUGAAAAUAACUAUGACAGGGAAAGGUGUUCCACUUACUUCUUGAGGUACAAAAACUGCCGGAGAUUCUGGGUAAGCCUAGAUUGGUUAGCUUUGUGUUAAAACCCAUCUCCUAGGGUUGAAACUGAAGCCUAAAAUUAGUCAGUACCCACAAUCCUUUCCCACUGAUGGCUGUAGGGAAACUUAACUUUUCAACUUUAUCCUCUGUGUGCUACUUUAGCCGUGAAAGAUCCUUGAGAGCUCUUGUUAGCUGCCUCGUCGUCCUCUAAGCUAUAAGAAUGCAGUUUUAAUAUAGAAUUCUAUCGUGAUGCAGAGACGAAAGAACGGAGUGAAGCCAUUUAUGCCUACGGCAGCAGAAAGAGAUGAAAUCUUGAGAGCAGUGGGAAAUAGGCCCUAUUGAAUGUUUGCAUUAAAAGUGUUUAUAUAACUUAGAAGCAGAUGAAUAUUUCUAAUAAAUGAUUGCUGUAAUAUUUAAGACUGUACACCCCUCACCCAGACAGACCUUAAGUUCUUCAAGUGGAGACAGUGAAGUCACCCCGUGUCCUUUUUGCUUGCUCUCAGUGCCAUGCCGAUGGUAUGUUGCUGCUGGCUAUGCUGUGGCAUGAGUUUGCAUGACUUUCUGGAGGCAUGGAGUUAGGUAAGGCUACAUGAGAAAUUGAGCUUUUCCACUGGGUUUUGAAAGAAGAGUAUGAUGUGAACAAAUAAAGACUGAAUGGGGCUGAGAUGAAGGCAAUGUUUCCAAGGAAAGGAAAUGUUAUGAGCAAGAGUGUGAGGCAAGAGAAGCUGGAACCACAUUCAGAGAGUAUCCUGUAGAUUGCUCCACCUAGAAUCUCAGGUGGGUGGAGCAGUGGUGGGAGAAGACUGGAAAGGUAAGUUGAAGGUAAGGAAUGUGUGGCGGGCCUCAGAUCCCAGGCUCAUUCCUCAAAUCACUUCUUACUUCCCUCACUUAUCUUUGUUUAAAUAAGGUUAGUACAUUCACUAGGGGCAAAUGGGUUUUUCUAAAUAAAUGACAUAAAAAAGAACUGGUUGUCUUUCUUUAAAGAAAGUCUUAGUUACAGGAUUCUGUGAUUAAAAUCCUUAAAUAUUGGGUAGCCUUCUGCAGCUGUAGUAUCAGUUUUUGAACCACAGUAAUGGGAAGAAAGACAAAUGGAUUCCCUUAGAAGUAAGAUUUCUAUUUGCAGGAUGAGUUGGGCAGGGAAAAGGGUCAGGGUUCAUCAGGCGAACUCAACACUGGGAUGAGACUAGAACUUCACUUUAUGAUAUAAACACAAUAUGAUUUUUCAGUGUGGUGACUGGGGUAGAUUGUGAAGCAGCCCUCCUUAUGCCCACUGCCUUUUAGAAUCGUUUGUUUCAUUCAUGGUAGUUUUAUGAAGACAUACUAUUAUUGAAUGAAAUUUAAUGUGUACUUGAAAACAUUGCUUUUGUCCCUUCUCUUCAUCUGGUCUUGGGUCAAGAACAUUGUUUUAAUGGCUGCCGACAAUGAACUGUCUGUCUGAGUCUAAAACCAAGCUCAGGUUUCUAAGCCACAUGACCUUGAUUGUUAAAUGUAGUUAUAUUUGAGUAAAAAGUGGAUCAUGUCCAAAAUUCUUUUGAUUUGUAUUGACUGCUAUAAAAAUGAUGGAUUAAAAUAGGACCAGAAAAGAA
This is an RNA transcript of Pan troglodytes (chimpanzee), 2023 nucleotides long. It is a transcript of the gene named coiled-coil-helix-coiled-coil-helix domain containing 7, with no coding region annotated. The transcript has 5 exons. The record is from RefSeq and is a predicted model, not a curated record. NCBI's taxonomy places the organism in Eukaryota, Metazoa, Chordata, Mammalia, Primates, Hominidae.